AUAAUUUCUCUUUCUUAUCUUCCUCUGAGCUUUCUGCUCUCCGAUUACGCUAUCAUUAUCAGAAAGAAGAAUCUCACAGUGCCUUGGUGGUAUAGUUUCUCCUAUGUAAGUUUUAUCCACGUAUAACCACUUGGAAGAGGGGAAGAAAUGCAGAUAAUGUAAUCUGAAAAUAACACAGAGAAGAAUGAUCCUAAAGAGGAGUGUAGACACAUUAUGGCAAAGGAGACACAGGCUACAAUGCUGAAACUUUGCUGCGUGAACAAUAAGCCAUGGAAGCUUGUUUAUUGCUAUCAGCUUUGUGAGAAAAUAUCAUUGUCUCCAGGCCUUUAUACCAGUAUAAUGAUAUGAAGAGAGGAAGCUGUCUGUUAAAACUGAGAGAAAACUACUUGUAAUAGCUAAAAUUCAGCACAACUACAAGGUGCCUGCUACUUUGGUCAGUGGCCUAAUGUGUGGUAUUCAUCAAGUAAUAUAUUGAUACCCCAGAGCAGGCUAGUUUGCCUCCUUACUCUGCAUAGGAAGAAAUGAAGAGAAGAAGGAAGGAAAAAAAAAAAAAAAAAAGAAAAAUCAAGUGUUACUUCAUAAAUUUUGAAACGUUGAAUAACACUUCACUUUAAGUACAUUUUAAUGCAUUGCCACACAGUACUUGCACAUAGGCUAGGCUGCUUAAUAUAAGUCUGAUCUCCUCUAGAAAUGUAAAGCACGAAUUUUCUACCACACCAAUUUGAAAUUGAAUGUGGGUUAUCUGCCUUGUAUGUGUACUGAUUUUUUAAAAGAAAAGACCUGUAUGUGACCCGCAGAGUUGCUAUGCCAAUGAUGUCUUGGUCUUUUUAAUAAGGUAUUUAUGAAUACUUUCAGUGAAAAUACUGUCUCUUGGUGGAGUUUUUCAUUUGAUACCACAUCUGGGUCUUUCUGAUAGAAUAUGAAAUCUCUGACUUUUGACACCUGCUUUAUAGAGUCAGCCUGUGUUUAUAAUUUCCAAGUAAUAUUUGGAAGGCUAGAAAAAUAUGAAGAAAGCAAUCCAUGCAGAUAGGUCUCUGGAUGACAAGAAAAGAUCAUUAAACCUUUCAAAGUUUGGCCAACUGAAUCCCAGAUCUUACAAGUUAGCCACCAAGACAAGUCACCAAGCUUAAAAGUAAACAAAAAAUGAAGACAUGUCUAAUUUAGCUGCUGCUACUAAUAUGGCUUGGGUUUAUCUUUGAGAUCCUUACUGAAUACCCUUUGAUUAAUUAAAUGAUAUAAUUUAUUUUGAAGUUUUAUUACCAUGAGAUUAUUUCCUGUCUAUUUCAGAAAGAUUUAAUAAAGUUGCUGUGACAAAAUCUACA
Molecule: long non-coding RNA, 1322 nt
Filed under: Athene cunicularia (burrowing owl)
Lineage: Eukaryota; Metazoa; Chordata; Aves; Strigiformes; Strigidae
Description: lncRNA (ENSACUG00000006922.1)
Source: RNAcentral